CCCACUGAGCCAUCUCACCAGCCCAAGAUCCGGUUUUUUAAAAAACAAAACUGGGGCUGGAGAGAUGGCUCAGUGGU
Non-coding RNA from Mus musculus (house mouse), 77 nucleotides. Lineage: Eukaryota; Metazoa; Chordata; Mammalia; Rodentia; Muridae. The record is from Rfam.